This is a long non-coding RNA of Cyanistes caeruleus (blue tit), 1627 nucleotides long. NCBI's taxonomy places the organism in Eukaryota, Metazoa, Chordata, Aves, Passeriformes, Paridae. The record is from Ensembl.
AACAUAAGGCAACUAGGGAUACAAGCAUCACAGAGUCACCACGUGACAGUAGGGCAAGGGGAACUUGGCUUCAAAAUCUAAGAAGAUAUAUUUAGAUGAGAUAUUAGGAAGAAAUUUUUCCUUGUGAGGAUGAUGAGGUUCUGGCACAGGCUGUCCAGAGAAGUUGUGGCUGUCCCAUCCCUGGAAGUGUCCAAGGCCAGGUUGGAUGGGGCCUGGAGGAAUCUGAUCUGGUGGAAGGAGUCCCUGGCCAUGGAGGGUUGGAACUCCUCAGUCUCUGAGGUCCCUUCCAACCAUUCUAGGGUUCCAUGGAAUGCUGCACACUCACAGCUCCAACUUGGUGCUUUGCAUCUUGGCAUUUCAGAGGCAUGGAGGAAAUCAUCCCAAGCAAUUCAUUCAGACAACAGGCUCAUUCACAGGAGCUGUGCCACGCAUUGAGAUCCUUCAGCAGGGUCUGAAAAGGACAACAGAACGUCGUAAAAAAAUAGGAUGGAUUGAGUGCGUUCCACCCUGAAAGGCAGGAAAAAGCCUUCACAGCAUGUCUGAAAUUCAGCACCAUUUGAAGACAUCUAUUGGAAAAGCUUGUGUGAAAUCCUAUCAAUGUUUAAGAUUAUUGGGAGGUGGGAGAGAGGAGUUUUGGGCAUGUCUGAUGAUUCCAUAAACCUAUGGCAGUGUGACAAAAGAGGGGAUCAGCCACCAGGAUUAGUGUGGGGGUGACAGAAGGAAGGCAAAAUUAAAUGCAGAAAAAGGUCAAGUUUGAGGAUCUAAUACAACUCCCUCAGUGGAAAUGGUAAGAUCUGCAUGAAGCAAUUAAAGAAUUCAAGCAACUCUAGUUAUAAAAUACCUCAUCACUUAUCCACCCCUUCCCUUUAUUGCAAAAAAAACUUGGUUGAAUGAAUGUUUAUCAUGAAAAAAUUUCUCAGAAGAUAAAAGAAAUUACCCUAAACUUAGUUCUAACAAGAGCACAGAGAUGGGUAAAUGAUCAUCCUUAUAACUAUUACUAUGUGUAACCAGUGUUUGUAACUAAAAUUCCAAGACAAGUCAACAUAUUUGAAUUCAUUCUGACACCCUGGGAGAAGAGGCAAACCCCCAGCUCUGUUCAACUCCCUCUUUUAAGUAGUUUAAAUGUUCAGCUCAAACUCUCUGCACUUCCUCUGUAGGAUCUUAUAUAAAACUGAUGGCUAAUAGACUGUCUGUCCUGUUUAAAGGGAAAAAUAAUUAAGAAUUUGGCUUGAAAUUUAUUUAUCUGAGUGUGACCAAUACCUUUCAAUUUUACUACAGAAAGUCAAGGUCUUUUGGACUUUUGACCAUCAAUGAACAGCAAAUGCUGUGGUUGAGGAAAAUUUCCCUGGUUAGGAAAAAAAACCAGUAUAUGGUUUGAAAAACAAAUGUAUGGGCAGAUAAUGCUCAGGUAUGAAUAUUAUCCUCAGAGCAAUGAUAGCUAAAAUGUCAAAUUCCAGGUGAGUUUCCAUUGCACCAAUGGAGGACAAUAUGUGGAAUCCGUGUGAAUUAAAUAACUGUAUUCUGGAGAACAAUGUUCUCACUAAGGAAAUGCAGUAAAAAGUUGAAACUUCACAGAACCUGUAACAAUAGGAAUAAAGCACAAAUAUUAAGUAUAUUAAUAAUAACU